This 1478-nucleotide ribosomal RNA is filed under the name Vibrio alginolyticus. RNAcentral describes it as "16S ribosomal RNA". It matches the Rfam family "Bacterial small subunit ribosomal RNA". Lineage: Bacteria; Pseudomonadati; Pseudomonadota; Gammaproteobacteria; Vibrionales; Vibrionaceae. The record is from RNAcentral.
AUUGAACGCUGGCGGCAGGCCUAACACAUGCAAGUCGAGCGGAAACGAGUUAUCUGAACCUUCGGGGAACGAUAACGGCGUCGAGCGGCGGACGGGUGAGUAAUGCCUAGGAAAUUGCCCUGAUGUGGGGGAUAACCAUUGGAAACGAUGGCUAAUACCGCAUGAUGCCUACGGGCCAAAGAGGGGGACCUUCGGGCCUCUCGCGUCAGGAUAUGCCUAGGUGGGAUUAGCUAGUUGGUGAGGUAAGGGCUCACCAAGGCGACGAUCCCUAGCUGGUCUGAGAGGAUGAUCAGCCACACUGGAACUGAGACACGGUCCAGACUCCUACGGGAGGCAGCAGUGGGGAAUAUUGCACAAUGGGCGCAAGCCUGAUGCAGCCAUGCCGCGUGUGUGAAGAAGGCCUUCGGGUUGUAAAGCACUUUCAGUCGUGAGGAAGGUNGUGUAGUUAAUAGCUGCAUUAUUUGACGUUAGCGACAGAAGAAGCACCGGCUAACUCCGUGCCAGCAGCCGCGGUAAUACGGAGGGUGCGAGCGUUAAUCGGAAUUACUGGGCGUAAAGCGCAUGCAGGUGGUUUGUUAAGUCAGAUGUGAAAGCCCGGGGCUCAACCUCGGAAUAGCAUUUGAAACUGGCAGACUAGAGUACUGUAGAGGGGGGUAGAAUUUCAGGUGUAGCGGUGAAAUGCGUAGAGAUCUGAAGGAAUACCGGUGGCGAAGGCGGCCCCCUGGACAGAUACUGACACUCAGAUGCGAAAGCGUGGGGAGCAAACAGGAUUAGAUACCCUGGUAGUCCACGCCGUAAACGAUGUCUACUUGGAGGUUGUGGCCUUGAGCCGUGGCUUUCGGAGCUAACGCGUUAAGUAGACCGCCUGGGGAGUACGGUCGCAAGAUUAAAACUCAAAUGAAUUGACGGGGGCCCGCACAAGCGGUGGAGCAUGUGGUUUAAUUCGAUGCAACGCGAAGAACCUUACCUACUCUUGACAUCCAGAGAACUUUCCAGAGAUGGAUUGGUGCCUUCGGGAACUCUGAGACAGGUGCUGCAUGGCUGUCGUCAGCUCGUGUUGUGAAAUGUUGGGUUAAGUCCCGCAACGAGCGCAACCCUUAUCCUUGUUUGCCAGCGAGUAAUGUCGGGAACUCCAGGGAGACUGCCGGUGAUAAACCGGAGGAAGGUGGGGACGACGUCAAGUCAUCAUGGCCCUUACGAGUAGGGCUACACACGUGCUACAAUGGCGCAUACAGAGGGCGGCCAACUUGCGAAAGUGAGCGAAUCCCAAAAAGUGCGUCGUAGUCCGGAUUGGAGUCUGCAACUCGACUCCAUGAAGUCGGAAUCGCUAGUAAUCGUGGAUCAGAAUGCCACGGUGAAUACGUUCCCGGGCCUUGUACACACCGCCCGUCACACCAUGGGAGUGGGCUGCAAAAGAAGUAGGUAGUUUAACCUUCGGGGGGACGCUUACCACUUUGUGGUUCAUGACUGGGGUGAAG